Molecule: ribosomal RNA, 119 nt
Filed under: Pteropus alecto (black flying fox)
Lineage: Eukaryota; Metazoa; Chordata; Mammalia; Chiroptera; Pteropodidae
Source: RNAcentral
GUCUAUGGCCAUACUACCCCAAACCAGCCUAAUCCCAUCUGAUCUCUAAAGCUAAGCAGGGUUGGGCCUGGUUAGUACUUGGAUGGGAGACCAUCUAGGAAGACCAGGUGCUGCAGGCG